UUACUUACCUGGCGGGGGGAUGUCACGAUCAAAGAGGUUGGUUUCCCCAGAUGGGGGGAACUUGACUGCACAAUUCUGUGGCAGUGGGGGACUGCUUUCUCGUUUUCUCUCU
This 112-nucleotide small nuclear RNA is filed under the name Crocodylus porosus (Australian saltwater crocodile). RNAcentral's name for it is "U1 spliceosomal RNA (ENSCPRG00005009026.1)". It matches the Rfam family "U1 spliceosomal RNA". Rfam says of the family: U1 is a small nuclear RNA (snRNA) component of the spliceosome (involved in pre-mRNA splicing). The record is from RNAcentral. Lineage: Eukaryota; Metazoa; Chordata; Crocodylia; Crocodylidae.